CUCUUCUGGAUCUGCAAAAUGCUUUCAAUUUACCCAUACAAAUAUAAUACAGUAGUUUAGGAGAUUAAGAUUACCUCACUUAUAAAUUUCAGAAAUUGUCUAAUCUCUAUUAAAAAUACCAUUUUAUUAUUACCCCAUAAUCAAUGAGGCAUACUAGAUGAAUCUUACUUUGACACAAACAAUGCAAUAUACUUUAAAAGUAGAGUUAACUCUGAGCUGGACAAUACUCCCCUAUUAGAACUCCUUUAUGA
Molecule: non-coding RNA, 251 nt
Organism: Pelobates cultripes (western spadefoot toad)
Lineage: Eukaryota; Metazoa; Chordata; Amphibia; Anura; Pelobatidae
Source: the annotation of a GenBank genome assembly